RNAcentral lists this non-coding RNA (27 nucleotides) under Cricetulus griseus (Chinese hamster). The record is from RNAcentral. Lineage: Eukaryota; Metazoa; Chordata; Mammalia; Rodentia; Cricetidae.
GGGGAUGAGGGACUCUUACUGGGAAAA